This 479-nucleotide ribosomal RNA is filed under the name uncultured organism. RNAcentral's name for it is "partial 16S ribosomal RNA". It matches the Rfam family "Bacterial small subunit ribosomal RNA", at positions 330 to 800 of the family's 1533-position model. The record is from RNAcentral.
CGUACACCCCUACGGGAGGCAGCAGUGGGGAAUAUUGCACAAUGGGCGCAAGCCUGAUGCAGCCAUGCCGCGUGUGUGAAGAAGGCCUUCGGGUUGUAAAGCACUUUCAGCGGGGAGGAAGGCAAUGCGGUUAAUAACCGUGUUGAUUGACGUUACCCGCAGAAGAAGCACCGGCUAACUCCGUGCCAGCAGCCGCGGUAAUACGGAGGGUGCAAGCGUUAAUCGGAAUUACUGGGCGUAAAGCGCACGCAGGCGGUCUGUCAAGUCGGAUGUGAAAUCCCCGGGCUCAACCUGGGAACUGCAUUCGAAACUGGCAGGCUUGAGUCUUGUAGAGGGGGGUAGAAUUCCAGGUGUAGCGGUGAAAUGCGUAGAGAUCUGGAGGAAUACCGGUGGCGAAGGCGGCCCCCUGGACAAAGACUGACGCUCAGGUGCGAAAGCGUGGGGAGCAAACAGGAUUAGAAACCCUUGUAGUCCCAUGA